RNAcentral lists this long non-coding RNA (1416 nucleotides) under Gossypium barbadense (sea-island cotton). Its description in RNAcentral is "long non-coding RNA (GBAR_LNC007735)". The record is from RNAcentral. Lineage: Eukaryota; Viridiplantae; Streptophyta; Magnoliopsida; Malvales; Malvaceae.
UUAAAUUGUAACAAUGCGCAAAUCUCAGGGAAAAUGUAAAAAAUAAAUAAAACAUGAUUGAGGCUUAAUUAAAGAUCGGUGCAGGAGAGGAGGGACUACAUGCGCAAUUAGCCCUCAAAGACCAAAACAUGCGGAUCUCGAUGGGCACCGGGUCGGGUCGCACGGGUAAGGCCUAUACGGCACCGUUUUGGAGCCACUGAAACAGGCCCUAAACGGUGCCGUUUCAUGCUCUUCAUAAAACAAAAAUAAAAAUAAAAAACCCUAAACUAACAUUUGGCUAUUUGAAAAAGAAUCAAAAUAAAACCUAAAGCCUCCCUUCCACUCUCAUUCAGCCGAACCAAAAAGCUCUACCACUUCACCUCCAUACUCAACGGACGGCAACGUAUGAAGGUUUAUCCUGGCCUUAUUCGACCGCAAAUCUGAGGGUUUUGUUAUGCUUAACCUCAAUCCUCAUCUAGCUUCGAUUACCACGACGUAAACAAGGAUUCGAAGCCUCCUAAGAAAGAUAAGUAUUAACGCUUUCAUUUAUUUUGUUUUUUACAUACAAUGACGAAGAUCAAAGAAAAAUAGAAGCAAAAACGAAAGACAAAAAAUGAGAUUUAAAAUCACCUUUGGAAAACUCUUUUUCCUAUUCAAACUUUUGGUAUAGAUUUUGUAUCGUCUCUCCCAAAAAUCCCCCUUUACAUUCAAUUUCAUUUCGUUUUAUAGCUGAAAAAUAAGAAUAAAAUAAAUAAGAAAAUCAAAUUUCCUUGCUGUAAUUUCUGUUAUUUGCUGUCCAUUGCUCUUUUGUUUGUUAGUCUGCUGUAGGUGUGUAUGGCGUGGAGAAGCCAUUCGUGGGCAUGUCGACGUGGAGAAUGAAGCAACGGCGCGCGUGAAAGCUGGCACGAAGGUAGCAGCGGCACAAGGGGGAAAGGUAACCCUAUAGUUCUAAAAAUAUUAAACUUUCGGGCCUGGGCUAGUUUUUGUCAUUGGGCCGUUGCAAUUUGAUUUGUAUUUUGAGGCUUUUUAUUUUGGAUUUUGGGCUUGGGAUAUUAUUAUGGACAUUGGACUUUAAUUUUGGUUUUUUUUUUGUUUUGGUUUAUUUUGUUUUUUGGUUUUUGUAUGGCCCGGGCUAAAAUUGGGCCUUACAAUGUAAAGACUUAUUUAUUGAAUGCUUAAAAGAAAAUUAUUCUACACGUCUCAAAAUCUUUGUAUUUUACUAACUUCAUUUUUUUUUAUUUUUGUGAAAAAUAAAAUAAAAUAAAAUAAAGAACACACAAAUUUUACGUGGAAACCCUUUCGGGAAAAAACUACGGGCAGAGAAGAAGAAAAUUCACUAUGUUGAAAAAUUUGAAUCAAAUACAAGAGGAAUAGACUAUGUCUAUUUAUAGGUUUGCAAAGCCAUAUUCUAGUAGGAUUGAAACACCUUAUCCUAAU